CCCCUCUCUCAAUGAAUCGGGUUCGCAAACGUUCUGAAUCAGUUCGCGAUUCAGUUUGAAUCAUUUGGACUGCUUACUCACGCAUUGGAUUGUUUGGAGCUGUUUCUCAUUGGGCAGUAGAAAGUUAAAAGCGUUACAAAACGCGUUUUACUUAUUAACAGAGAGCACGAAUAAGACCGCAAGAUAAACUGGAUAUUUACUUACAUCGAAACCACCAAACCCGAAAAUGCAUCUUGUCCUGAAAGCGGUGUUUUUUAUGAGUUCAUAGCCUGCGCUUGAAGCUUGUGAACGACUUCCAGACUGAAGGGAAGAGGUUGAAACGUAAGGGAAAUUCAAAUUCUAAUUGUUGCUGAUAAGAGCAGCAAUGCAUUCAAAAGGUGCCAUAGCAGGAGGUUUGUACAGAGAAAGGGGUUCUGGGUGAUGUUACAGCACAGCUUUGUGCCUAACAUGAGCCUCUCUCAUCUGCGUCCUGAGCUUUCAUUCAUAGGCUGGACACAUGUGGGAUAUGAUCAUGUGGUGAGCUCAACAGACAUCCCUCUAUCCUCUCUCUGCUCAACUCUCUUCUCACUGAUGGUAUUCAUUCAGAGGUCACAUUGAUUCAAACUGUCUGGAUACUGUAAUCCUGUUUUAUAUGCUCUGGGAACGCCGGGCCGGGAACUGUCCUUGCACAGACAUUUGUCAUCUAGGACUGUCAAUGUUAAUAUGUUUACUUAUGAGAUUCAUUCAUGUUUAAUGGUGUUACAUUUGUUUAUUCUGUUCAGUGGGAUUUCUGUUAAAACAAACUGCAUUUUCUUUCACGUUAGUCUGUCUACCAGUCAAUUAUUAAAAAAAAAAAAAAAAAAAUACUUGAUGGGUAAUUUGUUUUAUUAAAUUAACCUAAAUUGGAUUUAAAAUCAUUAGCAUUCUUCUUGGG
This is a long non-coding RNA of Cyprinus carpio carpio, 913 nucleotides long. The record is from Ensembl. NCBI's taxonomy places the organism in Eukaryota, Metazoa, Chordata, Actinopteri, Cypriniformes, Cyprinidae.